CCCUUAGACGUUCUGGGCCGCACGCGCGCUACACUGACCAGUGCAACAAGCAUCCGUCCUUGGCCGACAGGCCCGGGCAAUCUUUGAACGCUGGUCGUGAUGGGGAUAGACUUUUGCAAUUUUUGGUCUUCAACGAGGAAUUCCUAGUAAACGCAAGUCAUCAACUUGCAUUGAUUACGUCCCUGCCCUUUUUACACACCGCCCGUCGCACCUACCGAUUGAAUGGUCCGGUGAAGCCUCCGGAUUGGCGCGCACCUCGGUGCCGCCGAGAAGUUGGCUAAACCUUACCAUUUAGAGGAAGGUGAAGUCGUAACA
RNAcentral lists this ribosomal RNA (315 nucleotides) under uncultured eukaryote. RNAcentral describes it as "partial 18S ribosomal RNA". It matches the Rfam family "Eukaryotic small subunit ribosomal RNA", at positions 1470 to 1796 of the family's 1831-position model. The record is from RNAcentral.